This 523-nucleotide ribosomal RNA is filed under the name uncultured bacterium. RNAcentral describes it as "bacterial SSU rRNA". It matches the Rfam family "Bacterial small subunit ribosomal RNA", at positions 355 to 870 of the family's 1533-position model. The record is from RNAcentral.
UGGGGAAUCUUGCGCAAUGGGCGGAAGCCUGACGCAGCAACGCCGCGUGCGGGAAGAAGGUCUUAGGGUUGUAAACCGCUUUCAGCAGGGACGAAGGCGUCCGGGUUAAUAGCCCGGUCGUUGACGGUACCUGCAGAAGAAGGUCCGGCUAACUACGUGCCAGCAGCCGCGGUAAUACGUAGGGACCGAGCGUUGUCCGGAAUCAUUGGGCGUAAAGAGCGUGUAGGCGGCCUGUUAAGUCUUGCGUGAAAUCUCGGGGCUCAACCCCGAGCGGUCGUGAGAAACUGGCAGGCUAGAGUGCGGGAGAGGAGAGUGGAAUUCCUGGUGUAGCGGUGAAAUGCGCAGAUAUCAGGAAGAACACCCGUGGCGAAGGCGGCUCUCUGGAACGCAACUGACGCUGAGACGCGAAAGCGUGGGGAGCAAACAGGAUUAGAUACCCUGGUAGUCCACGCCGUAAACGAUGGACGCUAGGUGUGGGCGGUGUCGACUCCGUCCGUGCCGAAGCUAACGCAUUAAGCGUCCC